RNAcentral lists this ribosomal RNA (253 nucleotides) under uncultured bacterium. RNAcentral describes it as "partial 16S ribosomal RNA". It matches the Rfam family "Bacterial small subunit ribosomal RNA", at positions 524 to 776 of the family's 1533-position model. The record is from RNAcentral.
UACGAAGGGGGCUAGCGUUGCUCGGAAUUACUGGGCGUAAAGGGAGCGUAGGCGGACAGUUUAGUCAGAGGUGAAAGCCCAGGGCUCAACCCUGGAAUUGCCUUUGAUACUGAUUGUCUUGAGUAUGGGAGAGGUGAGUGGAACUCCGAGUGUAGAGGUGAAAUUCGUAGAUAUUCGGAAGAACACCAGUGGCGAAGGCGACUCACUGGCCCAUUACUGACGCUGAGGCUCGAAAGCGUGGGGAGCAAAAGGG